Molecule: ribosomal RNA, 315 nt
Filed under: Triticum aestivum (bread wheat)
Lineage: Eukaryota; Viridiplantae; Streptophyta; Magnoliopsida; Poales; Poaceae
Description: partial small subunit ribosomal RNA
Source: RNAcentral
AUGAAAUUUGGGACAAGAAAAGAAGAAAGUACAUAUGAAACAAGAAAAGAAGAAAGUAUAGACAAGAAAGCUGAAGCAAGCACUGCACCAAUCCUAUCUUUCGCUGCGCAUGCAGGAGUAAUGAACCAUAGACAAAUCAGUAACCUGAAGAAUACUGAAGUGGCACCCUUCGUCAAAAGCCAUCGGUUAAUCUUAGGCAAUGGCACCCUUGCCUGCAUGUAUACAUUGAUAAGUGAAGACUUCCUAAUUGUUGUAUGGUUUCAAGACAAACUAGAAGAGGUACUUCCUGCACAUCAGUCUCCAUCCGCAAGUUAA